RNAcentral lists this ribosomal RNA (1488 nucleotides) under uncultured bacterium. Its description in RNAcentral is "bacterial SSU rRNA". It matches the Rfam family "Bacterial small subunit ribosomal RNA". The record is from RNAcentral.
GUUUGAUCAUGGCUCAGGACGAACGCUGGCGGUGCGCCUUAUGCAUGCAAGUCGAGCGAAGCUUUUCUGUAGUUUACUACAGAAAAUGACUGAGCGGCGAACGGGUGAGUAACGCGUGAGCAAUCUACCUUAGUUACAGGGAUAGCCCGAGGAAACUCGGAUUAAUACCUGAUAUUCUUUUUUUCUCGCAUGAGUUUUAAAGGAAAGGUCAGCCGAACUAAGAUGAGCUCGCGUUCUAUCAGCUAGUUGGUGAGGUAAUAGCUCACCAAGGCAACGACGGAUAGCUGGUCUGAGAGGACGAUCAGCCACACUGGGACUGAGACACGGCCCAGACUCCUACGGGAGGCAGCAGUGGGGAAUAUUGCACAAUGGGCGCAAGCCUGAUGCAGCAACGCCGCGUGAGGGAUGAAGGCCUUCGGGUUGUAAACCUCUUUUAGCAGGGAAGAAGCGAAAGUGACGGUACCUGCAGAAAAAGCACCGGCUAACUACGUGCCAGCAGCCGCGGUAAUACGUAGGGUGCAAGCGUUGUCCGGAAUUAUUGGGCGUAAAGAGCUCGUAGGCGGUUUGUCACGUCUGCUGUGAAAAUCCAAGGCUCAACCUUGGACUUGCAGUGGGUACGGGCAGGCUAGAGUGCGGUAGGGGAGAUGGGAAUUCCUGGUGUAGCGGUGGAAUGCGCAGAUAUCACGAGGAACACCAAUGGCGAAGCACAUCUCUGGGCCGUAACUGACGCUGAGGAGCGAAAGCGUGGGGAGCGAACAGGAUUAGAUACCCUGGUAGUCCACGCCGUAAACGGUGGGUGCUAGCUGUGGGCCACAUUCCACGUGGUCCGUGACGAAGUUAACACAUUAAGCACCCCGCCUGGGGAGUACGGCCGCAAGGCUAAAACUCAAAGGAAUUGACGGGGGCCCGCACAAGCGGCGGAGCAUGCGGAUUAAUUCGAUGCAACGCGAAGAACCUUACCAAGGCUUGACAUAUAGAGGAAAAGUGCAGAAAUGCACUCCCCGCAAGGUCUCUAUACAGGUGGUGCAUGGUUGUCGUCAGCUCGUGUCGUGAGAUGUUGGGUUAAGUCCCGCAACGAGCGCAACCCUCGUCCUAUGUUGCCAGCACGUAAUGGUGGGAACUCAUGGGAUACUGCCGGGGUCAACUCGGAGGAAGGUGGGGAUGACGUCAAAUCAUCAUGCCCCUUAUGUCUUGGGCUUCACGCAUGCUACAAUGGCCGGUACAGAGGGCUGCAAUACCGCAAGGUGGAGCGAAUCCCAAAAAGCCGGUCUCAGUUCGGAUUGAGGUCUGCAACUCGACCUCAUGAAGUCGGAGUCGCUAGUAAUCGUAGAUCAGCAACGCUACGGUGAAUACGUUCCCGGGCCUUGUACACACCGCCCGUCAAGUCACGAAAGUCGAUAACACCCGAAGCCGGUGGCCUAACCGCAAGGAGGGAGCCGUCGAAGGUGGGAUUGGUGAUUGGGACUAAGUCGUAACAAGGUAGCCGUA